AACGAACGCUGGCGGCGUGGAUAAGACAUGCAAGUCGAACGGGAACUUCAGCUGUAGCAAUACAGUUGAAGUUUUAGUGGCGAACGGGUGCGUAACACGUGGGCAAUCUGCCGAGAAGUGGGGGAUAGCUCGCCGAAAGGCGAAUUAAUACCGCAUAUGAUCAGCUAAGACAUCUUAGCGACAUCAAAGCCGGGGCAACCUGGCGCUUUUUGAGGAGCCCGCGGCCUAUCAGCUAGUUGGUGAGGUAACGGCUCACCAAGGCUAUGACGGGUAGCUGGUCUGAGAGGACGACCAGUCACACUGGAACUGAGACACGGUCCAGACACCUACGGGUGCAGCAGUCGAGUAAUUUUUCUCAAGUGGGGCAACCC
This 371-nucleotide ribosomal RNA is filed under the name uncultured bacterium. Its description in RNAcentral is "bacterial SSU rRNA". It matches the Rfam family "Bacterial small subunit ribosomal RNA", at positions 29 to 383 of the family's 1533-position model. The record is from RNAcentral.